Molecule: ribosomal RNA, 492 nt
Filed under: uncultured bacterium
Lineage: Bacteria
Description: partial 16S ribosomal RNA
Rfam family: Bacterial small subunit ribosomal RNA
Source: RNAcentral
AGUGAACGCUGGCGGUAGGCCUAACACAUGCAAGUCGAACGGCAGCACAGUAAGAGCUUGCUCUUACGGGUGGCGAGUGGCGGACGGGUGAGGAAUACAUCGGAAUCUACUUUUUCGUGGGGGAUAACGUAGGGAAACUUACGCUAAUACCGCAUACGACCUACGGGUGAAAGCAGGGGAUCUUCGGACCUUGCGCGAUUGAAUGAGCCGAUGUCGGAUUAGCUAGUUGGCGGGGUAAAGGCCCACCAAGGCGACGAUCCGUAGCUGGUCUGAGAGGAUGAUCAGCCACACUGGAACUGAGACACGGACCAGACUCCUACGGGAGGCAGCAGUGGGGAAUAUUGGACAGUGGGCGCAAGCCUGAUCCAGCCAUACCGCGUGGGUGAAGAAGGCCUUCGGGUUGUAAAGCCCUUUUGUUGGGAAAGAAAAGCAGCAGGUUAAUACCCCGCUGUUCUGACGGUACCCAAAGAAUAAGCACCGGCUAACUUCGUG